Molecule: unclassified non-coding RNA, 439 nt
Filed under: Hevea brasiliensis (rubber tree)
Lineage: Eukaryota; Viridiplantae; Streptophyta; Magnoliopsida; Malpighiales; Euphorbiaceae
Source: RNAcentral
AAAAAUAAUAAUAAGACACUCAAAACUUGGUCUUAAAAAGGUGAAAAUGAAGAGCUUAGCAAGCAAAACUGGCAUCAAAAAUUUUGUUUAUACAAUUGAUUCUUAAGGCACUACUUUGAAGCGCCACUGGAGGAUUCAGACUUUUUACUGGAGGACUCAGGCUUUUUAAGUAUACAUAAUUGACCACCAUCCUUAGUAGCAAAAGUGGCUGCUUUUGUUUCGUUGCACUGAUUAAUAAACUUUGUCAAUUCCCGAUCGACAUCCAUCUGCUUUGUGUUCUUCGAUGGUUUCACAGCUCUCUUCCCUUUGCGAAUUUGAGGAGCUUUUCCAUGUCGACUCGGCACUGAUUUCUUCUUCUGUUGGCCUUUGAAAAGAUUUGCCUUUUGUGUCAUCUUUUAACCCCUUACUAAUUUGCUUUCAAUGGAUUCUAGGGUUUUUG